RNAcentral lists this ribosomal RNA (296 nucleotides) under uncultured bacterium. Its description in RNAcentral is "partial 16S ribosomal RNA". The record is from RNAcentral.
GGACUACCGGGGUAUCUAAUCCCAUUCGCUCCCCACGCUUUCGUCCUAGCAGUGUCAGGUGGCACCCAGAAGCCUGCCUUCGCUAUUGGUGUUCCCAACGAUAUCAACGCAUUUCACUACUACACCGUUGGUUCCGGCUUCCUCUUUGCACCUCGAGCUGAGAAGUUUCAAAAGACAGUCUCAAGGUUAAGCCUUGAGAUUUCACUUCUGACUUUCUCAACCACCGAUCGGUACGCUUUACGCCCAAUGAUUCCGGAUAACGCUUGAGGUCUCUGUAUUACCGCGGCGGCUGGCAC